Triticum urartu is the source of this 63-nucleotide non-coding RNA. Lineage: Eukaryota; Viridiplantae; Streptophyta; Magnoliopsida; Poales; Poaceae. The record is from Rfam.
CUUAGAGCAGUUUGGUAGCUCACGAGGCUCAUAACCUUGAGGUCACGGGUUCGAUUCCCCCAG